CACCUCGAGCAUUACUAGUAUUCGAGGCACUGCCUGCCCAGUGACCAAGUGUUAAACGGCCGCGGUACUCCGACCGUGCAAAGGUGGCAUAAUCAUUUGUUCCUUAAUUGGGGACUUGUAUGAAUGGCCACACGAGGGUUUAACUGUCUCUUUCUUCUAAUCAAUGAAAUUGACCUUCUCGUGAAAAGGCGAGAAUAAAUAUAUAAGAGGAGAAGACCCUAUGGAGCUUAAAUUAACUAAUUUAAUUGCUACCCUAUAAAUCUAUAAGAUACAACUAAGUAGCAUAAUAAAUUAACAAUUUUGGUUGGGGUGACCUCGGAGAAGAAAAAAACCUCCGAACGGUAUUCUAAUUCAGACUCUACAAGUCAAAAUUUACUAAUCACUUAUUAACCCAAUACUUGAUCAACGGAACAAGUUACCCUAGGGAUAACAGCGCAAUCCUACUCUAGAGUCCCUAUCGACAGCAGGGUUUACGACCUCGAUGUUGGAUCAGGACAUCCUAAUGGUGCAGCCGCUAUUAAGGGUUCGUUUGUUCAACGAUUAAAGUCCU
RNAcentral lists this ribosomal RNA (550 nucleotides) under Elephas maximus (Asiatic elephant). RNAcentral's name for it is "partial large subunit ribosomal RNA". It matches the Rfam family "Bacterial large subunit ribosomal RNA", at positions 1817 to 2597 of the family's 2925-position model. The record is from RNAcentral. Lineage: Eukaryota; Metazoa; Chordata; Mammalia; Proboscidea; Elephantidae.